AUGAGGAAACUAUGGAUGGUUGAUAGGUAUUUUUGUGACAAUUCAAAGUAAUUGUUUUCAUGAUGAUAAUUUCACUCCUAAUAUAUUGGCCUUCUGAAUCAGUUAUUGGUUCUUGGGGACUUUCACCUAACAAAAAAAAAUGGAAAACAUUUAUCGACUGGUAUAUCUUUGGAGAUGCCCGAUCAACAAUGCCUUAUAUUCCUGGACACCUUGCAACAGUUUGGUUUAAAGGACUUAGUAAGAAAGGAAGAUCCAAUACGAUGUGGGAAAUUUGGCAUAUAUAUUAUGCUUCGAAGCAUAAGGAAUACACACUUUAUUGUAACUAUCCAAAUCACACAGGGUUAACAACUAAUUGGAUGGAAAAGGGCUUACAUUAUACCACAAGUUUAGGAGCUUCAAGCCCUCUACUGACAGUGUGGAAGAAAGAAUAUGAAAGCUUUCCAAAGAAACCAAUAUACGUAGAUAUUUCUGGAAAAGUAAUUGAGACUAGAAAAUCUUCUUGAUAAGCUUGAAAACGAUUCAACGUGUUGUGAUAGUGUAACUGGUUUGAAAAUCAUGACUAUGUCUUACAAACACAAAUCCGUCUUUUUGGUAAACAUUAAAACCACUUAUUAGUACAAUGUUGAGCUUGAUUUUCCGGCCAAAAUGUGGUGCAGACAAAUUUCACUUGGCAAUCAAACAAUACAGUUCUUCUCUAGUAUAUAAAGAAACAUCCAUUAACUAUAUUUAAUAAAACAAAAGUAGGUAAGUAAUUAAGCUAAUAAAACAAUACUGUAAGGAAAUUUCAUUUUCAUUUAUAUAUAGAUUAAGAUUGUUUACAGGUUUUACAGGUAAACGUUCGUGAUGUUUUUUACUUUAUCUGUUUCAGAGGCUUGACCCAAGUCAAAUAUGCGGAAUAUAUUCACUGCAAACUUUAGAUAAUAGUCCAAUGCUUCUAAUCCUCGUUGAAACUAUAGAAAAAAGAUUGAAUUAUUUAGUAGAUAUUACAUUCAAUGAACACUUUCAUGUAUUUGCAUUAUUUUGUACUUCUUUUAAAUGACAUAGGUAUUUUUAUAAAACCAUUAUCUUAAGUUUAUAGCAGAAAACAUAAUAUUUGUGAAGUUCAGAAAUGCAAAGGACAAAAAACAUGUGUGCCAAACUCGUUUUAAGACUCAGCAAGUACGACAGUUCAAAACAAGCUUUGUUCCGACUACAUUGGCUUCCUAUCAAAGCUAGAACUGAUUUUAAGAUUUUAACUGUCAUGUUGAAAUGUUCAGUCGGCUAAGCUUUAUCUUACUUGAUUGAAUUAUUAUCGGAACGAGCACAAAGACGUAGUUUAAGGUCUUCAGACUCUGUCACAGGUUGUUAAGAGGUACCAUUUAACAAACGUAAAACAUUUAGUGAUAGAAGUUUUCAAACUGUAGGGCCGAAACUAUAGAACAAACUACCAGCAGACGUGAGAAAUUCUGAUUCAGUUGACACGUUUAAGAAAAUGCUCGAAACACUUUUUAGAAGCUUUGAAGUAUGGUUUUGAUUUUUUCUCUGUUGAUGGACUGAAUAUGAUAGAAACGCUGAAUAUAAUCUACUAUGUGGUGUGAUCGACGUAUGUUUAAUACAAAAUGUUGUAAUUUGCACUGUAUAAUAAUUUUGUCAAAUAUGUCGUGUAUACCAUUCUAUAUAUAUUUUAUCAUUUUUCUUUUAAUUUAAUAUACAACGCCAGGGAAUAUACUAUGUGUAAAAUUAGGCGUUUAAUCAAAUAAUUUAGAAGCAGUUUCAUUUUUUUUUUUUUUUCAGUUUUUUUUUUGUAGAGUGUGUUCGCUGUAAUUUUGUUUGUUUAUUUCUUCAGCCAAUAAUGAUUGUGUAAGGAAUUAUGAACUUCUGCUUUUUAUAGUUAUUUUCUAACAAUUGAUCAGGAGCACGAUUAUGAAUUGUAAAAUGAGCUAUAAAAGAUAUAUAUAUGUAAAGAGUUUUCAUUUUUGC
Long non-coding RNA from Mercenaria mercenaria, 1959 nucleotides. RefSeq lists it as uncharacterized. NCBI's taxonomy places the organism in Eukaryota, Metazoa, Mollusca, Bivalvia, Venerida, Veneridae. The record is from RefSeq and is a predicted model, not a curated record. The transcript is spliced from 3 exons.